UCCGGUUUGUCACCGGCAGUCUCACUAGAGUGCCCGUUUCCGUAGCAACUAGUGACAAGGGUUGCGCUCGUUGCGGGACUUAACCCAACAUCUCACGACACGAGCUGACGACAGCCAUGCAGCACCUGUGUCCAGGCUCCCUUUCGGGCACGUCCACCUCUCAGCAGACUUCCUGGCAUGUCAAGGGUAGGUAAGGUUCUUCGCGUUGCAUCGAAUUAAUCCACAUCAUCCACCGCUUGUGCGGGUCCCCGUCAAUUCCUUUGAGUUUUAAUCUUGCGACCGUACUCCCCAGGCGGUCAACUUCACGCGUUAGCUGCGGUACUGAGAAAUCGCUUCCCCAACACCUAGUUGACAUCGUUUAGGGCGUGGACUAC
This 374-nucleotide unclassified non-coding RNA is filed under the name uncultured Gammaproteobacteria bacterium. RNAcentral's name for it is "contains 16S-23S intergenic spacer region". The record is from RNAcentral. Lineage: Bacteria; Pseudomonadati; Pseudomonadota; Gammaproteobacteria.